RNAcentral lists this ribosomal RNA (474 nucleotides) under uncultured bacterium. Its description in RNAcentral is "bacterial SSU rRNA". It matches the Rfam family "Bacterial small subunit ribosomal RNA", at positions 1 to 524 of the family's 1533-position model. The record is from RNAcentral.
UGGGCCCGAGUUUGAUCAUGGCUCAGAACGAACGCUGGCGGCAGGCUUAACACAUGCAAGUCGAGCGCCCUGCAAGGGGAGCGGCAGACGGGUGAGUAACGCGUGGGAACCUACCUGAAGGUACGGAACAACUCCGGGAAACUGGAGCUAAUACCGUAUGUGCCCGAGAGGGGAAAGAUUUAUCGCCUUCAGAUGGGCCCGCGUCAGAUUAGCUAGUUGGUGAGGUAAUGGCUCACCAAGGCGACGAUCUGUAGCUGGUCUGAGAGGAUGACCAGCCACACUGGAACUGAGACACGGUCCAGACUCCUACGGGAGGCAGCAGUGGGGAAUUUUGGACAAUGGGGGCAACCCUGAUCCAGCCAUGCCGCGUGUGUGAAGAAGGUCUUCGGAUUGUAAAGCCCUUUCGGCGGGGACGAUGAUGACGGUACCCGCAGAAGAAGCCCCGGCUAACUUCGUGCCAGCAGCCGCGGUGCU